This 301-nucleotide ribosomal RNA is filed under the name uncultured bacterium. RNAcentral describes it as "partial 16S ribosomal RNA". It matches the Rfam family "Bacterial small subunit ribosomal RNA", at positions 509 to 809 of the family's 1533-position model. The record is from RNAcentral.
CAGUCGCCGCGGGAAUACGUAGGGUGCAAGCGUUAAUCGGAAUUACUGGGCGUAAAGCGUGCGCAGGCGGUUAUAUAAGACAGAUGUGAAAUCCCCGGGCUCAACCUGGGAACUGCAUUUGUGACUGUAUAGCUAGAGUACGGCAGAGGGGGAUGGAAUUCCGCGUGUAGCAGUGAAAUGCGUAGAUAUGCGGAGGAACACCGAUGGCGAAGGCAAUCCCCUGGGCCUGUACUGACGCUCAUGCACGAAAGCGUGGGGAGCAAACAGGAUUAGAUACCCGGGUAGUCCCUGUCUCUUAUAA